GGGCGCAUGACGCAGCCAGGUAGCGUAACAGGCUUUUAUAUUUUCUUUGUUUGAAAAUAAAGGUACCUGUAAGCCGUGGGUUCGAAUCCCACUGCGCUCG
This 100-nucleotide transfer RNA is filed under the name Candidatus Heimdallarchaeota archaeon LC_3. Its description in RNAcentral is "tRNA-Lys". It matches the Rfam family "tRNA". Rfam says of the family: Transfer RNA (tRNA) molecules are approximately 80 nucleotides in length. Their secondary structure includes four short double-helical elements and three loops (D, anti-codon, and T loops). Lineage: Archaea; Promethearchaeati; Candidatus Heimdallarchaeota. The record is from RNAcentral.